GGACCGUUAGCUCAGCUGGUAGAGCAGCAGACUCUUAAUCUGCGGGUCAAAGGUUCGAUCCCUUUACGGUUCA
This 73-nucleotide transfer RNA is filed under the name Spirochaetales bacterium. RNAcentral's name for it is "tRNA-Lys". It matches the Rfam family "tRNA". Rfam says of the family: Transfer RNA (tRNA) molecules are approximately 80 nucleotides in length. Their secondary structure includes four short double-helical elements and three loops (D, anti-codon, and T loops). Lineage: Bacteria; Pseudomonadati; Spirochaetota; Spirochaetia; Spirochaetales. The record is from RNAcentral.